CCCUGGUUAGCUCAUUUGGUAGAGCGCUCCACCUGUAAUGGAGAGGUCCCGGGUUCGAUACCCGGACCAGGCG
Molecule: non-coding RNA, 73 nt
Organism: Ixodes scapularis (black-legged tick)
Lineage: Eukaryota; Metazoa; Arthropoda; Arachnida; Ixodida; Ixodidae
Source: Rfam